ACGGAGGGUGCAAACGUUGCUCGGAAUCAUUGGGCGUAAAGCGCACGUAGGCGGUCUAGCAAGUCGGGUGUGAAAUCCCUCGGCUUAACCGAGGAAGUGCAUUCGAAACUACUGGACUUGAAUACUCAAGAGGGUCUCGGAAUUCCCGGUGUAGAGGUGAAAUUCGUAGAUAUCGGGAGGAACACCAGUGGCGAAGGCGGAGACCUGGGGAGAUAUUGACGCUGAGGUGCGAAAGCGUGGGGAGCAAACAGGA
This 253-nucleotide ribosomal RNA is filed under the name uncultured prokaryote. RNAcentral describes it as "partial 16S ribosomal RNA". It matches the Rfam family "Bacterial small subunit ribosomal RNA", at positions 525 to 777 of the family's 1533-position model. The record is from RNAcentral.